UACGUAGGGUCCGAGCGUUGUCCGGAAUUAUUGGGCGUAAAGAGCUCGUAGGCGGUUUGUCGCGUCUGCCGUGAAAGUCCGGGGCUCAACUCCGGAUCUGCGGUGGGUACGGGCAGACUAGAGUGAUGUAGGGGGAGACUGGAAAUUCCUGGUGUAGCGGUGAAAAUGCGCAGAUAUCAGGAGGAACACCGGUGGCGAAGGCGGCACUCUGGGCCGGUACUGACGCUGAGGAGCGAAAGCGUGGGGGAGCGAACAGG
This 257-nucleotide ribosomal RNA is filed under the name uncultured bacterium. RNAcentral describes it as "partial 16S ribosomal RNA". It matches the Rfam family "Bacterial small subunit ribosomal RNA", at positions 524 to 776 of the family's 1533-position model. The record is from RNAcentral.